Long non-coding RNA from Rattus norvegicus (Norway rat), 370 nucleotides. RefSeq lists it as uncharacterized. Lineage: Eukaryota; Metazoa; Chordata; Mammalia; Rodentia; Muridae. The record is from RefSeq and is a predicted model, not a curated record.
GUUCAACAACUAGGAAUUCCUUGUGACCUGACCAGCUAACACUGGGCCUAGAUGACAGGAGGAGAAAAACUAUGGAUUCCAUGAAAGUUAAUAAAGAUUAGACUUGACCAGAAGAGACCUUCUGAAAAUCUUGGCUGCAGACUGAAGGAAGAAACCAAGAAGAACAACAAAACAGGGAUGUUCUUGCGACAUUGAACCUAUUCACGCAGAACUCAACGUGAUAAAUAUCAAGCCACACAGUUCACAUUUACUGAUGAAAGAUUAUAUACAGUCAAUCAGAAGACCUUCUCUGACCUUGAAUUCUAAAAUAAAUGUGUCAUCAAAGAUAAAGUAUAUUAAAUAGCAAAAUAGAAAAUGAAAUUAAGGAAAA